UCCCAAUACGCAAUUUUAGCCGAAUCGUGACGCAAAACACGGCUUGUCUCGAAUCCCGCUAAAAUAAGGGUGUCUAUCCCGAAUCCCGACAGUUAUUUUCGGCCCAUCCCAGUGUCCCGAAAAUACCCGUUCUCCCCCUCAUACAUAGUAGACCAUAUUGUCACAUUGAUGUUUUCUUUCAUUACAGUUAGACUUCGAGAUCUACAUUUUCGACAAAGGCCUGGUGUAACAUUAUUACGUACUUGAUGAAGGUUUAAUGACACGAAUGAGUACAAGUACAUUACAUUUUUCGACGAAGGCCUUCUGUAAUUUCAUACGCUUCUUACGCAACAUUCAAUAGAUUUAUUUACUGUAUUAUCAUUUCGACCAAGGCGAAUUCGACACUUCAAUUACACAAGGUUAGUAACUUUUGUUCACAAAAUCCAAAUGGAGGCAAAUACAGAACAAUCAAACUUAGUCAUUCCAGUCAGUUACUGAAGCACAGUGAAAACUGUCGGGAGCAGUGCAACUGAUGGCAUGUCAAACUUCCAGUGACUGUCCCUGUCCAUAUAUUUCAAGACAGUACAAAUCUUGUAAUCAUUUUGUUUAUGCAAUGUACGUUAUUAUGUAUCAUUUCAGCACAAUCAAACUUAGUCAUUCCAGUCAGUUACUGAAGCACAGCGAAAACUGUCUGAAUUAGUGCUGCUGAUGGCAUGUAAUUACUCUACUACCACUACCAGUGACAGUCAAUGUCCAUAUAUUUUCAAGUGUGCGAAAUUAGUACUCGUCUACUUCUUAGUGUUAUUUGAAUGCAAUGUAUGUUAUAAAAAUAUUUUUUCAACACUAUAUCAACAUUCUCAUUCCUGUCAGUUUCUGAAAAUCAGCUAAAGCAAUCGCUACCAAUGCAGCUGAUAACAGCAAUUCUUUUUGUUCCCAAUGCCCAUCCAUGACAAUAUAUUUCACGCAUGUGACAAUCAUGGUAUCAUCCUGUUUUUUGUGUUCUAUUCAUGCAAUAAAUAAAUUCAGUAUUU
Molecule: long non-coding RNA, 1010 nt
Organism: Lineus longissimus
Lineage: Eukaryota; Metazoa; Nemertea; Pilidiophora; Heteronemertea; Lineidae
Exons: 3
Source: RefSeq, a predicted model, not a curated record